RNAcentral lists this ribosomal RNA (514 nucleotides) under uncultured bacterium. Its description in RNAcentral is "bacterial SSU rRNA". It matches the Rfam family "Bacterial small subunit ribosomal RNA", at positions 791 to 1320 of the family's 1533-position model. The record is from RNAcentral.
UAGUCCACGCCGUAAACGAUGUCGGUGAUAUAAUGUCGGUGUCCAAGCGAAAGUGAUAAGUAAUCCACCUGGGGAGUACGGGCGCAAGGCUAAAACUCAAAGGAAUUGACGGGGGCCCGCACAAGCGGUGGAGUAUGUGGUUUAAUUCGAAGCAACGCGCAGAACCUUACCUACCCUUAACAUUUCACGCUCGCCUCAGAGAUGAGGUUUUCUCUUCGGAGACGUGAGGAUAGGUGCUGCAUGGCUGUCGUCAGCUCGUGUCGUAAGAUGUCUGGUUAAGUCCAAUAACGAGCGCAACCCUUAUCCUUAGUUACCAGCAUUGAGUUGGGGACUCUAGGGAGACUGCCGGUGUUAAACCGGAGGAAGGCGGGGAUGACGUCAAGUCCUCAUGGCCCUUACGGGUAGGGCUACACACGUACUACAAUGGCAGAAACAAACCGAAGCGAUAUUGCGAGAUGGAGCUAAACGGUAAAACACUGUCUCAGUCCGGAUUGAAGUCUGCAACUCGACUUCA